ACGACGCUGGCGGCGUGCCUAAUACAUGCAAGUCGAGCGAGACAGAAGGGAGCUUGCUCCCGGAUGUUAGCGGCGGACGGGUGAGUAACACGUGGGUAACCUGCCUGUAAGACUGGGAUAACUCCGGGAAACCGGAGCUAAUACCGGAUAGUUCCUUGAACCGCAUGGUUCAAGGAUGAAAGACGGUUUCGGCUGUCACUUACAGAUGGACCCGCGGCGCAUUAGCUAGUUGGUGGGGUAAUGGCUCACCAAGGCGACGAUGCGUAGCCGACCUGAGAGGGUGAUCGGCCACACUGGGACUGAGACACGGCCCAGACUCCUACGGGAGGCAGCAGUAGGGAAUCUUCCGCAAUGGACGAAAGUCUGACGGAGC
Molecule: ribosomal RNA, 373 nt
Filed under: uncultured Bacillus sp.
Lineage: Bacteria; Bacillati; Bacillota; Bacilli; Caryophanales; Bacillaceae
Description: bacterial SSU rRNA
Rfam family: Bacterial small subunit ribosomal RNA
Source: RNAcentral